Molecule: long non-coding RNA, 1290 nt
Organism: Triticum dicoccoides
Lineage: Eukaryota; Viridiplantae; Streptophyta; Magnoliopsida; Poales; Poaceae
Exons: 5
Source: RefSeq, a predicted model, not a curated record
CGAUUCUCAGCAACGAGAGCCGACCUCGUGACGGCGCCGGCCAGCCAGGAUCCAUAGCGACGCGGUGGCGCCGUUCGCCGGAGUAGCGCGCCUCGACAAGAGGCCGCGCGCUGCUCCUUCGAACGGCGCUGAGCCCAGCGCAGAGGCGGGGUGUCGUCUUCCUCCGUAAGUACGGCACAUCGGCGUCAACUUCCCGUGCGUCGUCCCGAGAGACCACGACAUCCUGGUCCUCGUGCGGCGUCGUCGCGCGGGAUCCCGGACGUGAGGCACCAACGCGGCGCCAUCAGUUUCAUCUUUAAAUCUUGAGUUCAUCAACUGAAGGAGAUGUCUGUGGUUAGGUUACAAGGCGGCAGUCCAGAGCAUUUGGGCAGUGGUUUCGUUGCUUACUGCAACGGAUGUUCAUGUCUAGUAAUGACAUCUUACCAUGUUGUUAAAUCAGCCUUCAUUAAUGGUCUUAUGAUUACGGUUAUCUUUCCUGGUGGACAACCGCGCUUUCAAGCCGAUGUACAAAAUUUAUCCGAGCCUGGGGAUCUUGCUAUACUUCAGUUUGAUUGUGAGGGCUAUAUGUUUGAACCUCUGCUGUUCGCUGAAAUAUCUACCAAUCCUGAUUUAUUUCCAUGGACGGUUUAUUUGCAUGGAUAUUACAAUGGUAAACGUGGACAACUUAUCAGACCUUCGACAUUACCUGGCCAAAUUGACGGUAUGUACGUAAAUCAAGAAACUGGUGUUCAUAUGCUUUAUGCAAAUUACACCAGUAACCCUGGAAUGUCUGGUGGACCAAUUAUUAUGGGAGGUAGAGUCUUGGAGUCAACAAAGGGGCUGAGGCAGGAACGAGACUUGCUGUUUCAGUCCUGGGUGUACACCAUGCUAGAGGAUUGGACUGGCGGAGCAGAAACAAUUGCUGAGAUGCUUGAAAUGCUUGAAGAGCUUGACUAUUAAAAUAAUCAAUCUUGCAGCACCAAGUAUUAAAGCCUUCAAUGAAGUAUCAGUUACUUGGAGUGAAUGUUUGAUACGCUGCUGGAGCCUCAGGGUGGAGUGAAAGAUGGUUUAUUGCUUCCAUACAUUAAGCCGUCGUUUAUUUUGGAAGUUGUCUGAGUGCGAUGUGUAAUUUGUAUCUCUAUACGGUUGUUAUUUAAGUUAUUCUUGUCCGAGUGACUACAUCAGACUAUCAAGGAUUGUUAUUUGUUAUGUACCAAUGUGGAGUCACAUAGGUUAUUUGUGCCUGUAGAGUAAGAAUUAUAUUAAUGUGAUGGACUCCUGUCUAUAAGAUUCGUAAUGCUUGUUGGUGUA